GAGGCGUCAGUAAACCGAUUACAUGGCCCUGUCAAAGCCAAGCCACAGGUGAAAGUCCUGUACACCUCU
This 69-nucleotide transfer RNA is filed under the name Agapornis roseicollis (peach-faced lovebird). RNAcentral's name for it is "tRNA-Asp". Lineage: Eukaryota; Metazoa; Chordata; Aves; Psittaciformes; Psittacidae. The record is from RNAcentral.